This 253-nucleotide ribosomal RNA is filed under the name uncultured bacterium. Its description in RNAcentral is "partial 16S ribosomal RNA". It matches the Rfam family "Bacterial small subunit ribosomal RNA", at positions 524 to 776 of the family's 1533-position model. The record is from RNAcentral.
UACGUAGGGGGCAAGCGUUGUCCGGAUUUAUUGGGCGUAAAGGGCGCGUAGGCGGUGCGGUAAGUCACCUGUGAAAUCUCCUGGCUCAACUGGGAGCUUGCAGGCGAAACUGCCGUGCUGGAGUGUGGGAGAGGUGCGUGGAAUUCCCGGUGUAGCGGUGAAAUGCGUAGAUAUCAGGAGGAACACCGGUGGCGAAGGCGGCUUUCUGGACAGAUACCGACGCUGAGGCACGAAAGCUAGGGGAGCAAACAGG